RNAcentral lists this ribosomal RNA (253 nucleotides) under uncultured bacterium. Its description in RNAcentral is "partial 16S ribosomal RNA". It matches the Rfam family "Bacterial small subunit ribosomal RNA", at positions 524 to 776 of the family's 1533-position model. The record is from RNAcentral.
UACAGAGGGUGCGAGCGUUAAUCGGAAUUACUGGGCGUAAAGCGUGCGUAGACGGUUUCGUAAGUCGGGUGUGAAAGCCCCGGGCUCAACCUGGGAAUUGCAUUCGAGACUGCGGAGCUAGGGUGCGGAAGAGGGAAGCGGAAUUUCCGGUGUAGCGGUGAAAUGCGUAGAUAUCGGAAGGAACAUCAGUGGCGAAAGCGGCUUCCUGGUCCAGCACCGACGUUCAGGCACGAAAGCGUGGGGAGCAAACAGG